RNAcentral lists this ribosomal RNA (305 nucleotides) under uncultured bacterium. Its description in RNAcentral is "partial 16S ribosomal RNA". It matches the Rfam family "Bacterial small subunit ribosomal RNA", at positions 505 to 807 of the family's 1533-position model. The record is from RNAcentral.
ACAGCAGUCGCCACGGUAAUACGAAGGGUGCAAGCGUUAAUCGGAAUUACUGGGCGUAAAGCGUGCGUAGGCGGUGAGUUAAGUCUGUUGUGAAAUCCCCGGGCUCAACCUGGGAAUGGCAAUGGAUACUGGCAAGCUAGAGUGUGUCAGAGGAUGGUGGAAUUCCCGGUGUAGCGGUGAAAUGCGUAGAGAUCGGGAGGAACAUCAGUGGCGAAGGCGGCCAUCUGGGACAACGCUGACGCUGAGGCACGAAAGCGUGGGGAGCAAACAGGAUUAGAUACCCCUGUAGUCCCUGUCUCUUAUAC